Molecule: transfer RNA, 65 nt
Filed under: Teloganodidae sp. MT-2014
Lineage: Eukaryota; Metazoa; Arthropoda; Insecta; Ephemeroptera; Teloganodidae
Description: tRNA-Leu
Source: RNAcentral
UCUAGUAUGGCAGAAAAGUGCAAAGGAUUUAAGCUCCUUACAUAAAGAUCAUUCUUUUUCUAGAA